RNAcentral lists this ribosomal RNA (468 nucleotides) under uncultured bacterium. RNAcentral's name for it is "partial 16S ribosomal RNA". It matches the Rfam family "Bacterial small subunit ribosomal RNA", at positions 28 to 507 of the family's 1533-position model. The record is from RNAcentral.
GACGAACGCUGGCGGCGUGCUUAACACAUGCAAGUCGAACGGAAAGGCCCUGCUCUUGCGGGGUGCUCGAUAGGCGAACGGGGGAGUAAAACGUGAGUAACCUGCCCUUGACAUUGGGAUAAAUUCAGGAAACAGGGGAUAAUACCGGAUAGGAGCUCCUGCUGCAUGGGGGGGGUUGGAAAGUGUCGGCGGUUGUGGCUGGACUCGCGGCUUAUCAGCUUGUUGGUGGGGUAGUGGCAUACCAGGGCUUUGACGGGUAGCCGGCCUGAGAGGGUGACCGGCCUCCUUGGGCCUGCGAUACGGCCCAGACUGCUACGGGAGGCAGCGGUCGGGAGUCUUGCACAAUGGGCCGGAGCCUGAUGCAGCAACCCCCCGUUCGUGAUGCCGUCCUUCGGGUUGUAAACCUCUUUCUCCUUUGCCGAAGCGUGCGUGACGGUAACUAGUCAAGAAGCACCGGCUAACUACGUG